CGGCGCCGAGGCGGGUAGCAACAGUUGCCCCGGUGAGGGAACACGGGCGGGCGCCAUAGCCACGGUAGCCCUGGCGACCGCGCGCCGGGCCGCAGCCCCCGCCGUAGGCCCCGUCCCCGUCCCCGCCGCCCUCCCCCGUCCCCUCCGCCGCCCCCGGGCCGGGCCGGGCCGGGCGGGGCUCAGCGGGAGUGCGGCGGGAGGCGGCGGCCCCGGGCAGGUUCCCUAAAUCACCGCUUUUGGCCCCAUUUAACCCCCCUCCCCCCCCCCCCACCAUCUCCAUGGCGACGCAGCCCUACGUCCCCGAACUGCCCC
This 312-nucleotide long non-coding RNA is filed under the name Gallus gallus (chicken). The record is from RNAcentral. Lineage: Eukaryota; Metazoa; Chordata; Aves; Galliformes; Phasianidae.